UUUGUUAAAGUGGAUGUACAUAGUGAUAGCAUGUAUCUUCUAUCUUUCAGUACAGUUGGACGUACAGCCAAAACAGACCCAUAGCUGGAUCAGUGACCUCCUUUGUUUUUUGGUUACCAUAUAAGUGAAAUACAUUCAGUGACAAGAAAGUAGCCUUGGUUUCUAAAAAAUCAUAAACUCUGUAUUGAAAACUUGACUUUUGAGCCUUUGAAACCAUUUGCACUGCAUCUGUUUUACCACUGUCUUCACAGAAUAGACUAUUUUGAAAAAAAUUCCAAUAAGACAAAGGAACAUCAUAUCUUUUGUUGGCAAAACAUAAACUCCAGAGUCAGAAAAUGUUCCUGAAUAUUAAUCUUUGAUAGGAGCCAUAUAACCUUAAAGAAAGUAAACAUACUACGAAAAUAACAUACUUCAGCAAAUCUGCUUACUUAUGAAAAAUAUGUUUAAGGUUAUAGCUUCUCUGUCAGUAGUGGGAAUCCUACCAAAUUCAGAUUUGUUUUACCUUUGUGUUCAUAGUUGUUCGAGUGGAUCCUUGUUUAAUAUUAACCAAUUUGAUUUGGCACAGAUUCCCAAUUAUGCAGCAAACCACAGAGAAGAUUUCAUGUAAUGUUGGAAGGCAAAACAAAACAUGAUUGCAUUACAUCUUCUGCCAGUGCUUUUCUUAACAAGCUUGAACUGAAUAGCAAUAAAUAACAGGAAUGAGGCAAUUUUAUCCCCAUAUUCAACAAUUUGUUCUUAAAUUUGAAAUGCAAGUAUACCAAUUAUCUCUAGUCUGCUUCCAGAUAAGCAGUGCCUUAUGAUAAUCCCAAUGCAUGUCUUUUUAGAAUAGUAAACAAGUAACGAAAAGCAGAUCAGGGCUAGCAUUAUGGAAGAGGAUUGAAAAACUGGGAAGAUUACCUCAAGAAACCGCAAUUUCUCAAAGAAAGUAAGUCCUGGUAUACUUCAGUGAGAUAUUGUCCAGGUUAGUAUGUUAGUACCAGAGCAGGGUAGUGAUCCACUUAAUUUGGAUUUGAAAACAUGCCCAUCACAGUUACCAGUGGUAUAUUGCUUCAGUUUUAAAUUUUGGAAAAUGACUUAAACUGCUACUCUGAAACCUAGCUUGAGAAAUUGACCAGCCAUAUAAGUACAAUAGUAUUGUCUGUGUGUACUGAGUUCAAGAUUUAUUUCAUGGUAACUACUGUGUACUGUUGCCCACAUUAUUGCUGCUGCUGCACGAGGCUUCCAUUUUGCAGUCCUUACAUAGGUAGUCCAUUGGUGCUAAUGGAUGCCCUAAUGUGAGUAAGGUUUACAGAAUUGUGUAACUCUAGUUACCUGCAUAACUAUUUGUUGCUUAAUCUCAAUUUUUCAAUAAAAUUACACACAGAAUGCCAUUAGUUUUAUGACCUUGCAAUAAGAUAUAUUGCUAAAUCCCAAAUAGAAGCAACUUAUUUGAUUUAUUUCUUAUAGGAGUGAAUCUAAUGAAAUUCUAAUUGUCCUCUGGGUGGCUUUAUCCAGAGGUUCAUAUUUCCUAAGGAGCUGGAGUUUUUUCUUUUUCAGUCUUUGCACAUGUUUUUCAAUAUGUUGUAUGCAUACUAUACAGUGAACUACUUAAACAUCUAUACAGUACUGUUAGUAGAGAUAAGUGGAACUAUUAAUUUUGGAUAGAAAGGCAGGAAUUAUACCAACAUCUGUGAAGGUGUUUUGGUCACAAGUCUGACUUUUUUGUCUUUGUCUUAAUGGUUUUUUUAGUAAUGUCAUGGCAUUUUAAUUGGGUUAUGGAAUCCACCAUGUUGAAGAUAUAGAAAAUAUUAAUAUCUCUUAUUUUGUAUAACUACUUUGUUAACAUUGCAGACCCAAAAACCUUGAGAGAGAGAUAUGAGGAAAUAUUGACAUUUCUUGUUUAUCUGCCAGGCUGUCUAGUAAUUUCUCAAGGUUAGCUUUAAAUUAGGAAGGUUCUUGUACUUGACAUACAAGUUUUAUUGAACUUAAAUACAAAAAGUAUUAAGGUCUUGAUCUUACACCACUUGAAUCAAUGGGAAUGGGAACUGUCGUAACUUUAUGUCAGAUCUUGCCUCAGCUAACCAGUUAAAUAUCCUAAAUAGCUAAGGAGGACAGAAAGGGGGAAACAAAUAAAACUAAAUGAAGGAAUAAAAUCUUAAUAUCUGGCCUUAGUAUGCUAUAUAUGGGAGAUAAUUAACUGCAAAUAACCUAACACCUAAUAAAUAACCUAAUCAUUUUUAAUAUCCCCAGAUUUGGUCCAUAUUUCAUGCGUUCCUGUUUGUUGUCCCUGUUUGAGGGCAUUACUGACUGUCAGGAUAAGGGGCCAAAACAAUGGGAAAGGGGAGAUCAGGAACAACUUUCCAUUUUAUUUGCAAGUAAAGACUCUAAAAAGAAAGUUGCAUGUUUUUUUUUUGUUU
Non-coding RNA from Caretta caretta (loggerhead turtle), 2396 nucleotides. NCBI's taxonomy places the organism in Eukaryota, Metazoa, Chordata, Testudines, Cheloniidae. The record is from RefSeq and is a predicted model, not a curated record.